Molecule: long non-coding RNA, 222 nt
Filed under: Elaeis guineensis (African oil palm)
Lineage: Eukaryota; Viridiplantae; Streptophyta; Magnoliopsida; Arecales; Arecaceae
Description: long non-coding RNA (EGUI_LNC011317)
Source: RNAcentral
AUGCUAAGAAAUCAAGUCAUGUAGUCCUCGAUAUAUGUAUGACCUCCUAAUAUAAGAUCACUAUGAACUAUAUGGUUUCGUCGUGCAUUCCAAAUGGUGAUAUACUGUGUAUAUCUGAUACAUUAGUCAAUAUGAGCUCUCCCUCAUCGAUCAAUACGAUGAAAUCGUUGGCUGGUAUCAAACUGCUCUGGGAUAUCCUGAAUCUGAUCAAACAACCGCAGC